CGUCUAUAUACGUAUAGCAUAUCAAUAAGCGGAGGAAAAGAAACUAACAAGGAUUCCCCUAGUAACGGCGAGUGAAGCGGGAAGAGCUCAAAUUUGAAAUCUUAAAGGGUUUCCCUUUACGAAUUGUAGUUUAAAGAAGUGUUUUCUGUUGGAGUUUUGGUAAAAGUUCUUUGGAAUAGGACAUCAUAGAGGGUGAGAAUCCCGUAUUUGACCAUUAUUUCCAACUUUGUGAUACAUUUUCAAAGAGUCGGAUUGUUUGGGAAUGCAGUCCAAAAUGGGUGGUAAAUUUCAUCUAAAGCUAAAUACUGGCGAGAGACCGAUAGCGAACAAGUACCGUGAGGGAAAGAUGAAAAGAACUUUGAAAAGAGAGUUAAACAGUACGUGAAAUUGUCAAAAGGGAAGCGUUUGACACCAGUGUUGUUUUCUCGAAAAUCAAUUAAAAAUGGCGGGAUUUUGUGUUGUAUUGACUUUAUCAGCUUUCUGCACUUUUUUCUUGUCUUUUUUAAUGCACUUUUCGUUUAACAAGUCAACAUCAAUUUCUUUUGUUGUAAAAGGGUCAUUGGAAGGUGGCUUUCUUUUCGGAGAAAGUGUUUAUAGCCUUUGGCCUCUGCAAUCGGAGAGAUUGAGGUCUGCAGCGUAGAUCCUUCUUGGAUUAGAUUCAUUUGUGCUAAGUUACAACCGUUUAUAGACAACUUGUUGACUAUAUUCGAUCCUGUAGCUUACUCGCUUAUGUAAUUUUACCUACGCUUAGGAUGUUGACGAUCAGCUGAGCGCG
RNAcentral lists this ribosomal RNA (775 nucleotides) under uncultured Neocallimastigales. RNAcentral describes it as "partial large subunit ribosomal RNA". It matches the Rfam family "Eukaryotic large subunit ribosomal RNA", at positions 26 to 627 of the family's 3401-position model. The record is from RNAcentral. Lineage: Eukaryota; Fungi; Neocallimastigomycota; Neocallimastigomycetes; Neocallimastigales.